CAGCACCUCAAGUGGUCAGGAUGAUUAUUGGGCCUAAAGCAUCCGUAGCCGGCGCUGUAAGUUUUCGGUUAAAUCUGUACGCUCAACGUACAGGCUGCCGGGAAUACUGCAGCGCUAGGGAGUGGGAGAGGUAGACGGUACUCGGUAGGAAGGGGUAAAAUCUUUUGAUCUAUUGAUGACCACCUGUGGCGAAGGCGGUCUACCAGAACACGUCCGACGGUGAGGGAUGAAAGCUGGGGGAGCAAACCGGAUUAGAUACCCGUGUAGUCC
RNAcentral lists this ribosomal RNA (270 nucleotides) under uncultured archaeon. RNAcentral's name for it is "partial 16S ribosomal RNA". It matches the Rfam family "Archaeal small subunit ribosomal RNA", at positions 477 to 747 of the family's 1478-position model. The record is from RNAcentral.